This 429-nucleotide ribosomal RNA is filed under the name Bacteroidota bacterium. Its description in RNAcentral is "Bacteroidetes bacterium partial 16S ribosomal RNA". It matches the Rfam family "Bacterial small subunit ribosomal RNA", at positions 355 to 776 of the family's 1533-position model. Lineage: Bacteria; Pseudomonadati; Bacteroidota. The record is from RNAcentral.
UAGGGAAUCUUCCGCAAUGGACGCAAGUCUGACGGAGCAACGCCGCGUGAGUGAAGAAGGAUUUCGGUUCGUAAAACUCUGUUGUUAGAGAAGAACAGCGCAUAGAGUAACUGUUAUGCGUGUGACGGUAUCUAACCAGAAAGCCACGGCUAACUACGUGCCAGCAGCCGCGGUAAUACGUAUGGGGCAAGCGUUAUCCGGAUUUACUGGGUGUAAAGGGAGCGUAGGCGGCAGUACAAGUCGGGAGUGAAAACUCGGGGCUCAACCCCGAGACUGCUCUCGAAACUGUACAGCUAGAGUGCAGGAAGGGCAGGCGGAAUUCCUGGUGUAGCGGUGAAAUGCGUAGAUAUCAGGAGGAACACCGGUGGCGAAGGCGGCCUGCUGGACUGUAACUGACGCUGAGGCUCGAAAGCGUGGGGAGCGAACAGG